GAUGAACGCUGGCGGCGUGCCUAAUACAUGCAAGUCGAGCGAACGGACGAGAAACUUGCUUCUCUGAUGUUAGCGGCGGACGGGUGAGUAACACGUGGAUAACCUACCUAUAAGACUGGGAUAACUUCGGGAAACCGGAGCUAAUACCGGAUAAUAUUUUGAACCGCAUGGUUCAAAAGUGAAAGACGGUCUUGCUGUCACUUAUAGAUGUAUCCGCGUUGCAUUAGCUAGUUGGUAAGGUAACGGCUUACCAAGGCAACGAUGCAUAGCCGACCUGAGAGGGGGAUGGGCCACACUGGACCUGAGACACGGUCCAGACUCCUACGGGGGGCAGCAGUAGGGAAUCUUCCGCAAUGGGCAAAAGCCUGACGGGGCAACGCCGCGUGAGUGAUGAAGGUCUUCGGAUCGUAAAACUCUGUUGUUAGGGAAGAACAUAUGUGUAAGUAACUGUGCACAUCUUGACGGUACCUAAUCAGAAAGCCACGGCUAACUACGUG
Molecule: ribosomal RNA, 497 nt
Filed under: uncultured bacterium
Lineage: Bacteria
Description: partial 16S ribosomal RNA
Rfam family: Bacterial small subunit ribosomal RNA
Source: RNAcentral